CCUCGCGAGGCUGCGGCUGGGGCAGAAAUCCGUCUCUGUGAGCGGAGGAGGGUGUGCUUAUGCGAGAGCAGGUUUUGGGAGCUCACUAAAGCAGGUCAGUCCCUCUGUUUGCGCCGUUGUCUGUGGGUCGUUUAAUUCCGGGCGCAGCUGAUCUGUAACUUCCCUCACUGGCGAGGUCUCCCAGUUACCACCGGGACAAUCCGAGCAAGGUCUGGGCCCCUCGCUGCCCCCGGUGAAGUGCCGCGUCUCCGCUUGGCCAUCCGUGGAUUCAGCAUCCCCACCUUAGCACCUCCCGCCGGCUUUUCCAUUGAGAGCAAAACCACGAACUCACUUUUGAGAGAUGCUGGCGCUCCCCUCAUCAAUAUUUCUUUUUUUUUUUCUGUUUGCUUACUUUUAACUAACCUUUUAUUGAUAAAUAUAACACAAUUUUAUUCUGAAAUAUAAACCAAAGAUAAGUAUAAUUAUGAACAGCCAAGUCAUUAGAGCGAAAAAAGAAUAGUGUCAGGUUCUUCACAGAUACACUUCCUGAGAAAACCACUAGCCCGACUUUUAUAACACUUUGCUUUUCUUAUUUAUAUUUAUUUAUUUAUUUAUUUUACCAAAAGCAGAUACUUGACUCUUUGCUUUUCUUUACGGUUUAUCACGCAUACUUGAAAACUGGAUUUAUGACAAAGGUGGCAUCAUACAGCCAUGGAGAAAAGAUGGUCUAUUCAGUGAAGGUUCUAUGACAAUAUGAAGGCCGGGCACGGUGGCUCACGCCUGUAAUCCCAGCACUUUGGGAGGCUGAGGUGGGCGGAUCACGAGGUUAAGAGAUCGAGACCAUCCUGGCCAACAUGGUGAAACCCUGUCUCUACUAAAAAGUACAAAAAUUAGCUGGGUGUGGUGGCACACACCUGUAGUCCCAGCUAUUCAGGAGGCUGAAGCAGGAGAAUCGCUUGAACCGGGAGGCGGAGGUUGCAGUGAGCGGAGAUCACACCACUGCACUUCAGCCUGGGCAACAGAGGGAGACUCCGUCUCAAAAAAAAAAACAAAACAGAAAACAGGACCUCUAUCUCUCAUUUCAUCACAAAAAUCAAUUGUAGCUGGAUUAAGACCUAAAUGUGAAAUCCUAAACUAUAAAGUCUUCAGAAUAUAAUAUAGGAAAAUAUCUUUGGACUUCAGAAUAGGUAAAUAUUUUAAAACAAAAAUAGAAAAACAUUAAAUUGGCCAGGCAUGGUGGCUCAUGCCUGUAAUACCAACACUUUGGGAGGCCCAGGUAGGCGGAUCACUUGAGGUCAGGAGUUGAGACCAGCCUGGCCAACAUAGUGAAACCCCGUUUCUAGUAAAAAUACAAAAAAUUAGCCAAGUGUGGUGGCAGGUGCCUGUAAUCUCAGCUACUUGGGAGGCUGAGGCAGGAGAAUCACUUGAACCUGGGAGGCGGAGUUUGCAGUGAGCCGACAACAGGCCACUGCACUCCAGCCUGGGUGAUAAAGUGAGACUCUGUCUCAAAAAAAAAAAGGAAAAAAAGAAAGAGAAAAAAGGAAAGAAAAAGAAAGAAAGAGAAAGAAAGAAAAGAAAAGAAAGAAAGAGAAACAUUAAAUUAAGACAACUACAGGCUGAGUGCAGUGGCUCACACACCUGUAAUCCUAGAACUCUGGGAGGCCGAAGUGGGUGGAUCCCUUGAGCUCAGUUCAGAAACCAGCUGGGGUAACAUGGUGAAAACACGUCUCUACAAAAAAUACAAAAAUUAGCUGGGGGUGGUGAUACGUGCCUGUAGUCCCAGCUACUCUGGUGCGUCAGUUGGGAAAAUUUUGAAGUGACUUGUGUUUUAGAUAAUAUUAUCAAUCAAUUAUAGGUCUCCUGAGUGUCAUAAUGAUUUUGUGGUUAUGUAGGAAAAUGUUCUUUUUCUUAGAAAUAUGUAAGUUGAGGCCAGGUACGGUGGCUCUCGCCUGUAAUCCUAGCACUUUGGGAGGCCGAGGCGGGCGGAUCACCUGAAGUCAGGAGUUCAAGACCAGCCUGGCCAACAUGGUGAAACCCUGUCUCUACUAAAAUACAAAAAUUAGCCGGGCAUGAUGGCAGGUGCCUGUAAUCCUAGCUACUCGGGAGGCUGAGAUGGGAGAAUCGCUUGAAACCGGGAGAUGGUGGUUGCAGUGAGCCGAGAUCAUGCCACUGCACUCCAGCCUGGGUGGCUGACUGAGACUCUUGUCUCAAAAAAAAAAAAAAAAAAAAAUGGAAUUUAAGUGUAUUAAAUAGUCUGUUCUCAUGCUGCUAAUAAAGACAUACCUGAGAUUGGGUAAUUUAUAAAGGAAAGAGAUUUAAUUGACUCACGGCUCCACAUGGCGGGGGAGGCCUCACAAUCAUGGAGGAAGGUGAAGGAGGAGCAAAGUCACCUCUUACAUGGUGGCAGGCAAGAGAGAACAUGUGCAGGGGAACACACCUUUAUAAAACCAUCAGGUCAGCUGGGUGUGGUGCCUUAUGCCCGUAAUCCCAGCACUUUGGGAGGCCAUGGCUGGUGGAUCACCUAAGGUCAGGAGUUCAAGACCAGCCUGGCCAACAUGGUGAAACCCUAUCUCUACUAAAAAUACAAAAAAUUAGCCAAGCAUGGUGGCAGACGCCUGUAAUCCCAGCUAUUCGGGAGGCUGAGGCAGGAGAAUCACUUGAACCUGGGAGGCGGAGGUUGUGGUGAGCUGAGAUCGCGCCACUGCACUCCAGCCUGGGCAACAAGAGUGAAAUUCCAUCUCAAAAACAAAAACGAAACAAAACAAAACCAUCAGAUCUUGUGAGACUUAUUCACUAUCACGAGAACAGCAUGGGAAAGACCUGCCCCCACGAUUCAAUUACCUCCUACCAGGUACCUCUUCCAUGAUAUGUGGGAAUUAUGGGAGCUACACUUCAAGAUGAGAUUUGGGUUGGGAGACAACCAAACCAUAUCAUUGAGGAAAUGCUUUUUAAUCCAUUGAGAUAUGAGAAGGCAUUUCUGGAUUGAGGCUACAAAAACUUUCUGCCUCUUCCCCAACAUAACCUUUCUUACUUGAGAUGUAAACUGAAUGCCAGGAAAACCCCUCCCCAACCCCUUCACACAUGGACCACUCCUCAAAUGGGGUUUGAGGGGCAAUGACACUGGGUAGAGUGAAGCAGAAGAGAUUUAGAAACAGUCAUGGAAUUUGUGGGGAAAAUAAAUAUCAAAAACAUAGUACCAUAUAUUCCCCAAAACUUUCAGCCUAAAGACUGUGGGUCUCAAAACUGAGAAAAGAAUGCCCUUUUCCCCAAAAGGCUAUCCUAGGAAGUCUGAGUCCUUAAGGCCCACCUGUAUGCAAAAGUCACUGAUUUGGUUCUUCCAUCUCCAGGUCUGUAACCAUCAAAAUACUGUUAGACACAAAUGGCCCAUUUUCCUCUGUGUCCAUUCUUCCCUCCUUGGUGUUUUGGAGCACAGGACUGUACCCCUAACAUUGUACUGACUACAGUCUACCAUAUAUCGGAGUAAGUCUUUAUGUGAUUACUCCCAGAGCUGCACUGUCCAAUACAGUAGCCACUAGUCAUAUGUGGCUCUUGAACACUUGAAAUGUGGCUAGUCCAAAAUGAAAUGUGCUAUAAUUAUAACAUUUACAAGCACUUUGAAGCUGAGUACAAAAAAAAGGUUAAAUAACUCACUAAUAAUGUUUACAUUGAUUAAAUGUUGAGAUGAUAAUGUUUUGGAUAUAUUGGUGAUAUGGUUUGGCUCUGUGUUUUCCACCCAAAUCUCACCUUGAAUUUUAAUAAUCCCCAUGUGUCAUGGGAGGGACCCAGUGGUAGGCAAUUGAAUCAUGGGGACGAGUUUUUCCUGUGCUGUUCCCGUGAUAGUGAAUAAGUCUCACAAUAUCUGAUGGUUUUAUAAAGGGGAGUUCCCCUACACAAGCUUCUUGCCUGCUGCCAUGUAAGACAUGCCUGCUCUUCCUUCGCCUCCCGCCAUGAUUGUGAGGCCUCUCCAGCCAUGUGCAAUGGUGAGGCCAUUAAACCUCUUUCCUUUAUAAAUUACCCAGUCUUGGGUAUGUCUUUAUUAGCAGCAUGAGAACAGACUAAUAAAACUGAGUUAAAUAAAACAUCUUAAAAUUAAGCUGGGUGUGGUGGCUCAUGCCUGUAAUUCCAGCACUAUGGGAGGCCAAGGUGGGUGAAUCACCUGAGGUCAGGAUUUCAAGACCAGCCUGGCCAACAUGGCAAAACCCCAUCUCUACUACAAAUACAGAAAUUAGCCAGGCAUAGUGGCAUGUGCCUGUAGUCCCAGCUACUCAGGAGGCUGAGGCAUGAGAAUCUCUUGAACCCAGGAGGCAGAGGUUGCAGUGAACCAAGACUGCACUACUGCACUCCAGCCUGGGCAACAGAGUGACUCUGUCUUUAAAAAAAAAUUAAUUUUACUUGCUGUUUUUUGUUGUAUUAAUGUAGCUGCUAGAAAAUUUAAAAUUACAUAUGUUUGCAUUUGUGUUGUGGCUUACAUUAUAUUUCUGUUGUACAGUGCUGCUCUGGAGUAUCAGAGCCUUAAAGGAAGAGAAUUUAUCUUGCUCAAAUUGUGUUCCUCACAGGUAUAGGGGCAAUAAUCGGCAUACUCUUUACAUGCUCAAGAGAACUCCAUUGACAAUAUUCAGUAUUUGAGAAUCUUCUAUUCCUUAUAUGAGAAUCAGCCUCUCUCUUGAGUCAAACUCCAAUUUCUGGCAAUUGAAAGGGGCAUUUUUAGUCGGAGAAAGCAGGAGGAGGUAGCCCUAGGCCAGGAAGUUGUGGGGGGUGAGAAUGAGCUAAGGAUGAACGACUGGGGCAUGCUUCUGCUAAAAGAAGGCAGCUUCGGAUAUGGUACAUUAUGAACCCUUGAGUCAAGGGGUUUUCUCUUUCCAUUUCUUGGAUCUGUUUCUCCUGUGUUUGCUCCAUAUCCGGCAGCCUCCCUCCUCUUCCACUGCUAGUAGCUUCCAGGACCAUGAAAGCCUUUCAGAUUUGUGUCCAUUGUGGGAAAAAAGGAAGUCUGUUUCCCUAAUAGCUGAAACAUAAGUUCAGAAAUUGUUCCUGAUUGGUAAACUGGGGUUAAACUCUAUGCCUGUCUUAGCCAGAGUCUUCUAGAAAACAGAGCCUGAGGCAAGGAUUAGAGUCCUUUUUUUUUUUUUUUUUUUUUAAUUUGGAAGGUGUUAAGCACGUGGUAGCAAGGAUAAGAAAAGAAAAGAGGGACGUGGAGCAAGUAACAAUGUAAAGCAAAUUGAAGUGGUAAGUUAUUGCACUGGGCUAUUGCCUCAUGUUGAGACGUGGUUCUCCCAAACUGAUUUCACAGUAAUUUUAUAAAAUUUAAACCCCACGUUGUCACUUUCUGGUCUCAAAUCCUAUAGGAUAAGGCUUAUCUCUUUAUUUAGUCAAUCCAGCCAAGAAUUCAAGGGCUCAUCCAAGAAAGGUAUAAAUUUUGUGAGGUGUAUCACAUGUCAUUUCCUUGUAUGAUGCAAACUAAAUCUGGGAGGAUGAGUAGGAGCUAACUAAAUAAAGAAGUUGGGCUGGGCACGGUGGCUCACACCUGUAAUCCCAGCACUUUGGGAGGCCAAGGAAGGAGGAUCACCUGAGGUUGAGUUUGAGACCAGCCUGGCCAACAUGGCGAAACCCAGUCUCUACUAAAAAUAAAAAAAUUAGCCAGGCACGGUGGCAGCACCUGUAAUCUCAGCUACUCGGGAGGUUGAGACAGUAGAAUCGCUUGAACCCAGGAGGCAGAGGUUGCAGUGAGCCGAGAUGGUGCUACUGCACUCCAGCCUGGGUGACAGAGUGAGACUCCGUCUCAAAAAAAAGAAAAAAAAAGAAAAAAGAAAAAAAAGAGAAGUUGGACAGAAGAGGAAAUUGCACCAUUGAGGACCAGAAACCAUGAAAUAGCAUGGAAUAUUUAGGGAACCAUAAGAUCUUUAUAGCUGAAGCAAAAUAUGCUUGGGUGGAAAUUUGGGAGCCACUUCUAGACAAAUAGGAGAUGCUCUAUACCAAGUGGUCUGUACUAAGAAAUUUACCUUUUUUUUUUUUUCUUAGACAGGGUCUUGCUGUGUCACCCAGGCUGCAGUACAGUGGUGCAAUCUUGGCUCACUGCAGCCUCUGCCUCCUGGGCUCAAGCAGUCCUCCCACCUCAGCCUCCCUCGUAGCUGGGACUAGAGGCAUGCACCACCAUGCCCAGCUAAUUGAAAAAAAAAAUUUUUUUUUUUUGAGACGAAAUCUUGCUCUGUCCCCUAGGCUGGAGUGCAGUGGCACGAUCUCAGCUCACUGCAACCUCCACCUCUCGGUUAAAGCGAUUCUCCUGCCUCAGCCUCCUGAGUAGCUGGGAUUACAGGCAUGCGCCAGUACGCCUAGCUACUUUUUAUAUUUUUAGUAGAGAUGGGGUUUCACCAUGUUGGCCAGGCUGGUCUCAAACUCCUGACCUCAGGUGAUCCACCUGCCUCAGCCUCCCACAGUGCUGGGAUUAUAGGCAUGAGCCACCACACCUGGCCUAAUUUUUAAAUUUUCGUAGAGAGAAGUUCUCACUAUAUUGCUCAGGCUUACCUUUAUCUUAAAGUAAUGAGAAAUCAUUGAGGGAUUUUAAGCAAUGAUGUGGUUUGAUUAGACAUAUGUUUUAGAAUGAUUACUCUAGAAGCAGUGGGGAGGCUAGAGAGAUUAAUCCAAACUACAAAUAGAAACACCAGUUUGGUAUCUUUUAAGCAGUUAGAAAGUGCUAAGAACCUGAUUAACACAUUGGUAAUGGGAAUGGAGAGAAAAAGAUAGACUGAGGAGAAUAUACAGGACUUGGUGACUGAUCGGGGGAGGUAAUGGAUGAGAGGAAGAAGUUUAAGCUGGAGAAUUGGGUAGAGGUAGUACCACUUCCUGGAUUACGGAAUACAGAUUUUAUUGAAAAGAUGAUGAGUUGAGUUUUGGACAUAUUGACUUUGAGGUGACUAUGGGAUAUCCAAGUGGAGAUAUCCAGCUGGACGUUGAAUACAAUGAUCUGGAGCUCAGGAGAGAUUUCUAAGAUAGAGAUACAGAGUAAGAAGUGUUGGGGCUGGGCGUGAUGGCUCAUGCCUGUAAUCCCAGCACUUUGGGAAGCUGAGGUGGGAGGAUCACUUGAGGCCAGGAGUUUGACACUAGCCUGGGCAACAAAGUGAGCCCCUAUAUCUACAGAAAAUGUUAAAAAUUAGCUGGGCAUGGUGAUGUGAAGCUAUAGUCUUAACUACUUGGGAGGCUGAGGUGGGAGGAUCGUUUGAACCCAGUUCAAGGCUGCAGUGAGCUAUGAUUGGGCCACUGCACUCCAGUCUAGGUAACAGAGCAAUGCCCAGUCUUUAAAAUAAAAAAUACAAAUAAAAUUAGCGUUUAAAAAAGAAGUGUUGGGAUGUCAAUAAAAUAAAUCAGACAGGCCAGGUGCAGUGGCUCACAGCUGUAAUCCCAGCACUUUGGGAGGCCGAGGUGGGCAGAUCACUUGAGGUCAGGAGUUUGAAACUGGCCUGGUCACCAUGGUGAAACCCCAUCUCUACUAUAAAAUACAAAAAAAUUAGCCAGACAUGGUGGUGCAUGCCUGUAAUCCCAGCUACUCGGGAGGCUGAGGCAUGAGAAUUGCUAGAACCUGGGAGGCAGAGGUUGCAGUGAGCCGAGAUCACGCCACUUGCACUCCAGUUUAGGGGACAGAGCGACACUUAAAAAAAAUCAGACAAAAUGUCUAGCUAGACAAGAGACUAUGCCUACUGACACCCCUAGAGAAAGACAUUUCUGUGAUCAGCAAAGGGAGGGAUUAGUGCCUAUGAGGUAAACAGAAUAAACAAACAGGCACCGAUAACAAGCCAAGUCAGUGGGUAGGCUCUGAAGCAUAACAUAAGGCUCCCUGGAGCAGUAGUAAACCUAAGAAGUAAACGUCUUAAAAAUGGCAAAGUGUGGCUAUAUUCGGCCAAUUAAAAGCAGGUAUAUGGAAAGCUACGAUGAAAAAUUUGGAAUAAAUGUGCUAAAAAAUGUGUCUCAGUUAUAGGAUAUGAGUAAUUGAAGAUGGUUAUUCUCCAUUUAUGGGUUUAGAUUAGGUGAGUUCCUAAACCUUUCUCAGUGCUAAAAUCCUGAUCCCAUGAGCUGGCAUUGAAGAAUGGUUAAGAUUUGGAACUCUAUAAACACUAAACCCUUCCUCUGGGAACUGCUCUCCUGCCCUUCCAGCCACUACUCCAUCCAUAUGGUUCCCAUAAAAGCUGACAUCUCUGCCUACAGUUGAUUUAAGGGUUGGCACCUGACCUAGCUGGGCCAAUAAGAAUCCUUACCCUAAGAAUUUUGCACUGGAAAUGAGAAAGAGAAGACAGCUUUUGUCUGGGUGAUGGAAACUGAAUAUAUGUAAAAUAUGGAACUGACAGUAACCAUGACUUGCAGUCAGGUGUUUAAAAAGGCAGGGCCAGAAUGAAGACAGAAACAGAGGUGAAAAAUGGAGAGGAAAAAACGAUUUGGGUUUCCCAAAGUCCUUCAAGACCUGGUCCUAGUCCACUGUUAGCAUGUAUCACAGCCCCUGAAUUCCAUGAGAUACCCCAAUAUCCUUCUAAUAACAUCAUCCUUCUUUGAGGCUUCAAGUAGCCCCAGUUGAUUUCUAGUUAUUUGCAACCUAAAGAAUCCUAACAUACUGACUUUGGUCAGAGCGCAUAUGGGAAGGAGAAAAGUAAAUGGAAGUUGAAGCUAUAAGGUAGGACUACACCUAAUGAUGAUCUUAAGUGCCAGGCUUUGGAUUGUAACUGAAGUAGCGGCUGUGGGGAGGGACCUGACGGGAAAUCCAUUAACACAGAAUCACUAAAACUUUCAUAGAAUGUUAUCAGAUUGAAAAAUAAAAUGUUCAAAAUCACUGGCCAGGCGCGGCGGCUCACACCUGUAAUCCCAGCACUUCGGGAGGCUGAGGCGGGCAGAUCACCAGGUCAGGAGAUCAAGACCAUCUUGGCUAACACGGUGAAACCCCGUCUCUACUAAAAAUACAAAAAACUAGCUGGGCGUGGUGGCGGGCACCUGUGGUCCCAGCUACUCGGGAGGCUGAGGCAGGAGAAUGGCGUGAACCCAGGAGGCGGAGCUUGCAGUGAGCCGAGACCGCGCCACUGCACUCCAGCCUGGGCGACAGAGAGAGACUCCGUCUCAAAAACAAACAAACAAAAAAAACAAAAUCACUGUGGUGCUGGCUUUGCUAUUUAGCUUUCACCACAUCAUAAGCAAUUUUAAUUAAUGCUCAUUCAUUUUUAUUAGAAAGUUGUGUCUCCUGCUGUCUCCUUCCAUGUGUUAACUAUAACUCACUAACACAAGCAUCCUGUAAAAUGCUAUGUAUGUUCAGACUAUCAGUCAUGGUAGACCCUGCCAUCCUAAAUACCUUGCCUCAAUCAUCAGUCCUCUUCCAUUCCAAUCAGGAGGAUUGCAGCCAAGAUUAUAUUCACAGCAAUGAGUCCUUUUAAAGAGACCGAUCCUUUUAUCUUUUAUAAUCUAAAAGAACCCGUUUCCUUAAAAAGACUCUCAUCCAUCAAAUAGUUCCAGCCUCAUAAGUCAGAGACUGAAGCAGUUGGUGGAAAGGUGUCUCCUCGAGCUGAGACUUUGGUGAACUUGGCUACCAAUCAAGAAGAUGCAGAUUCCUCUCUGGCUCCAGGUUUGGGAAGUGGUCACUGUUUCUAGGGGGUGCAGCUCAGCUGGUCCUUCUAGGCCAUGUUAUUGAAACAAGCUGAUGCCCCUCAGAUGGCAGACAGGUCUGUUGAUCCAGGUGUAGGAGAUGCUUCAGCAUCAGAUAUGGCUCCUACAGUUACAUAUCUUGCCGGUGGGAAAAUAAAUACGUCCAAACCUCUAUGAAGGUCCAUUUGCCAAUAUCCAUAAUAAAAACACAUAUACUCUCGGCCGGGUGCAGGGGCUCACACCUGUAAUCCCAGUACUUUGGGAGGCUGGGGCAGGUGGAUUGUUGGAGGCCAGGAGUUCAAGACCAGCCUGGCCAACAUGACAAAACCUUGUCUCUACUAAAAUACAAAAGUUAGCUGGGCAUGGUGGCACAUGCCUGUAAUCUCAGCUACUCAGGAGGCUGAGGCAGGAGAACCACUUGAGCCCAAGAGGCAGAGGUUGCAGUGAGCCGAGAUUGUGCCAUUGCACUCCAGCCUGGGAGACUAUGUUUCAAAAAAAAAAAAAAAAACAAAACCAAAAAACAAACAAAAAACCCCCCACACAUACUCUCUAACAUAGAAAUUCCAGUUCUAGGAAUUUACCCUACAUACUUACAUGUGUGUGAAACAAAAAUGUUGAAGAGGAAUGACAUCUAUGAUAUAUUGUUUGGUUUUUGUUUUUGAGACAGGGUCUCACUCUGUUGCUCAGGCUGGAGUGCAGUUGGUAUGAUCAUGGUUCACUGCAGCCUCAAUCUCCCAGGCUCAAGCAAACCUCCACCUCAGCCUCCCAAGUAGCUGGGACCACAGGUGAGUGCCACCAUCACACCUAGCUAAUCUUUAAUUUUUUUUCUAGAGACAGAGUAUCACUAUAUCGCGCAAGCUGGUCUCAAACUCCUGGGCUCAAGCAGUCCUUCUGUCUUGGACUCCCAAAGUGCUGGGAUUACAGGCAUGAGCCAAGGCAACCGGCCUAUAUUAUCAUGUAAUAAAAGUAACAUGCAGGCUGCGCGCAGUGGCUCACGCCUGUAAUCCCAGCACUUUGGGAGGCCGAGGUGGGUGGAUCACCUGAGGUCAGGAGUUUGAGACCAGCUUGGCCAACAUGGUGAAACCCCAUCUCUACUAAAAAUACAAAUAUCAGCUGGGUGUGAUGGUACGCACCUGUAAUCCCAGCUACUCAGGAGGCUCAGGUAGGAGAAUCGCUUGAACCUGGAAGGUGGAGGUUGCAGUGAUCCGAGAUUGCGCCACUGCACUCCAGCCUGGGUGACAGAGUGAGACUCUGUCUCAGAAAGAACAUGCAGAUGUGUUUGUAUAGGAGGUGGCCAUUUCUGCUUAAAAAGACAAAGGAGGCCAGGCGUGGUUAACUCAACACCUGUAAUCCUAGCACUUUGGGAGGCCGAGGUGGGCGGAUUGCCUGAGGUCAGGAGUUCAAGACCAGUCUGGCCAGCAUGGUGACACCCCGUCUCUACUAAAAAUACAAAAAUUAGCUAGGCAUGGUGGUGGGUGCCUAUAAUCCCAGCUACUCGGGAAGCUGAGGAAGGAGAAUUACUUGAACUCUGGAGGCGGAGGCUGCAGUGAGCUGAGAUCCCGCCACCACACUCCAGCCUGGACAAUAGAGUGAGACUCCGUCUCAAAACAAACACAAACAACAACAAAAAGACAAAGGAAAACCGUAUAUUUGUAUUCUCUUGGAUAUAAAUUUUAAAAAGCUGAAUGGAUGCACAAAAAAUUAUUAAAAAUGGUUGCCUCUAUAUAGAAAUCUAUGGUGGGAAAUACAGGAAGGCGGCUUUUCACUGCAUAUAAUUGUUUCCACUUUCUGGACUUUACACCAUGUGAAAGCUUUCCCCAUUAAAAAAUACAUUAUUUUAUUCUUUUUUGUAGAGACGCCUGGGAUUACAGGCGUGAGCCACUGCGCGCAGCCUGCAUGUUACUUUUAUUACAUGAUAAUAUAGGCCGGUUGCCUUGGCUCAUGCCUGUAAUCCCAGCACUUUGGGAGUCCAAGACAGAAGGACUGCUUGAGCCCAGGAGUUUGAGACCAGCUUGCGCGAUAUAGUGAUACUCUGUCUCUAGAAAAAAAAUUAAAGAUUAGCUAGGUGUGAUGGUGGCACUCACCUGUGGUCCCAGCUACUUGGGAGGCUGAGGUGGAGGUUUGCUUGAGCCUGGGAGAUUGAGGCUGCAGUGAACCAUGAUCAUACCAACUGCACUCCAGCCUGAGCAACAGAGUGAGACCCUGUCUCAAAAACAAAAACCAAACAAUAUAUCAUAGAUGUCAUUCCUCUUCACUAUAUAAAGUGCCUACUUAUUCUUUUCUAUAGCUGCCCACCUGAAAUGCAGUGGUGAUCACAGCUCAUUGCAACCUUGAACUCCUGGGCUCAGGUGAUCCUUCUGCUUCAGCCUUCUGCACAGCUAGGACUACAGGCGCAUGCUACCAUGCCUGGCUAAUUUUUUAAAAACUUUUUUGCAGAGAUGGGUCUUGCUAUGUUGUCCAGGCUGGUCUUGACUUCUGGCAAGUGAUCCUCCUUCCUUGACCUCCCAAUUACAGGCACAAGCCACUAUGCCUGGCCAAAAAAAUAAAAUUUUAAUUUAAAAAAUACGGUUGGUGAUAUUUUAAGCUAUAGUUCCCAAAUGCUGGUCUGCAAAUCAUGAAUACCCAUGAAGAAUAAUUUAUUAAUCCACCAUGAAAUCAGAAAAAAACUGUUAUGAAUUUUUCAUAAUGCUGAAUUCAUUUAAUUUUAAGGACCAGAUUUUAAUCUUAAGUACUUUUUAGAGGUGUUAGUAGUCAAUACCUGUCAAUGUAAUGUUUAUUUACAAUGGGAAAAAUUAAAAGUUGGCAUCAUUACAUCAAUUCCUCAUAUCUGAGUCCUGAAAUUUUAAAGCACUCUAAAUCACCAAUUUACACUUGGCUUUUGUUCUCAAGUCAAAUAUCUGUUUUUACACCUUAUUUCGGAAGGCGUUCCUCCUGUGUAUUUCAUGAUGUCGACUAAGUGAAGAGUUAUAGCUGAAGGCUUUUCCACAUUCGUUACAUUCGUAAGGUUUUUCUCCAGUGUGAUGUCUCUGAUGUUUUUUAAAGGAUGAAUCAUGCCUAUAGGCUUUUCCACAGCGGUUGCAUUCAUAUGCUUUCACUCCUGUAUGAACAGUUUUAUGGUUGCUAAGGUGUAUCCUCUGCCUAAAGGCUUUUCCACAUUCUUUACAUUUGUAGGGUCUCUCCCCAGUAUGGAUUCUCUGGUGAUGUGUUAGAUACGCUCUAUGACUAAAGGUUUUACAACAUGCAGUGCAUGCAUAGGGCUUCUCCCCGGUAUGAAUUCUUAUAUGUUCACUAAGGUGUCUAAUCUGUCUAAAGGUUUUCCCACAUUCAUUGCAAGUAAAAGGUUUCUCUCCAGAAUGAGUCCUCAAAUGUUGAACCAAGCUAAUGUUCUGGCUGAAAGCUUUCUGACAUUUAUCACAUACAUAGGGUUUCUCCCCAGUGUGAGUUCUAUGAUGCUGAUUAAGUGAUGAGCGAUGUCUGAAGGCUUUCCCACAUUCCUCACAUUCAAAGGGUUUCUCACCAGUAUGGAUUCUCUGGUGUGUACUGAGGGAUGCACUUUGACUAAAGGCCCUUCCACAUUCCUUACAUCUGAAAGGUUUCUCACCAGUAUGAAUUCUCAUAUGUUCAGUAAGGUGAAUAGGUUGUUUGAAGAUUUUUUCACAUAUAUUACAUUCAUAGGUUUUUGUUCUUAUGUAACUUGUUGGAUGAUUAAUCAAAUCUAAUUUGUAUGUGUUCCGCUUUGUAGGUGUAUCAUAUUUAUGGUGCCUCUGUUCAAUAAUAACAUUUGAAUGCACAAUGAUAUUUUCCCCAAAUUUGUUAGUUUCUUGGACUCUCUUCUUAUGGGUCAAGAUGGCUUGUCUCACAUCUCUCAUACAAGUUUCCUGGUGCCUUUCUAAGACAUCAUCAUAUGUGGAGACUUUUCUCAACGUGGAAUAAAUUAUAUCAUCCCUCAUGAAACUUUCCAUCAUAAUGCCAUGAUAUAAGCGCUCCUGUGAAAUGGUACUCUUUGCAGUUGACUCAAUGGUUUCUAUUUUACUCUUCAAGUCUGAAAGAAAUGAAAAAAAGCUUUAAAAACCAAUUACUGUAGUGGUUAUGGAACAGAGAUUUAGACAACAAUAUGGAUAAGUGCAUGAGAUUUUGACUAUAUUUAAAUAUGAUUAUGCUGCUUGGAGAGGUAAUGGGAAAGGAAAUUAAGAAACAGUGAAC
Molecule: long non-coding RNA, 13791 nt
Filed under: Homo sapiens (human)
Lineage: Eukaryota; Metazoa; Chordata; Mammalia; Primates; Hominidae
Description: non-protein coding lnc-RIMS3-4:6
Source: RNAcentral